GGAAGAUAGGGAAGUCAUUCACAUUUUUGCUGGAAUAUAAGGCAUUUUUCCUUUAAUUAUUAUUAUUUUUUUUAUGUAAGAGAAGAUUUGCAAGCUGGACACCACUGUUCAGUAACACACGUUUCAAUCUUGGAAGAGAAAGGUCUGUUUAUCAUGUCUGCCAAGAAAUUAAUUUAGUGCCAGAGGCUGUGGCAAUUGCUGUAUGGCUGGUCUCAGAUGAAGUCCCCAUAGAAAAUGCCUUUGUGAACUUUAUUUGUUUUUGGAUUUUUUGAAAAGGAUAAAAACUGCAAGGCCCAGUCACCUCUAAUGGUCUGCCCUUUCACUGUGCUCAGAGACCCCACACGCAGCAGCAUGGAGAACCGGUGCUGCCAGCAUCCUCAACAACCCAAUGCCCAGGCCCAAGAGGCCUCGCCCGGGCCACAGUCUUCCAUGCCUCAGUCCCCGUUACUGUCUGGAGCUACCUCCCUCAUCUCCCUUACCCAGAGAGAGGAGUUUUUUGACCUGAUAGCCAGUUCCCAGAGCCGCAGACUAGAUGACCAGAGAGCCAGUAUAGGGGAUCGUCUGGGCAUAAGAAUAGCACAAAACAACUUGGGACACUUGUGUGAAGCAUGUAGUCCACGGGAACCUAGUGAUGAGUUCUUCAACAUGCUCAUAAAAUAUCAGACAAUGAAAGUGAAAGGAGACUGAGUCCUCCAGAAUCAAUGAUCAGAGAUGCUCUUUGCCUCCAGCACCAGACCCAGAUGAAGACUUCUUUAGCCUAAUUCAGAGAGUGCAAUCCAAACGGAUAGAUGAACAACGGGUUUCUUUUCACUCUGAUGAAAAGGGUGACACAGACUUAGAGGUCCAAAACCAAAAGAACUCAAGCUAGAGACUGUCACACUACUGUACUGACCUCCACAAAAUGCUUCAGAAAACCCUAACAUGACUGACUGGUUGCACAUUUUGGGAGAUCUUCAUAGGUUUGGGCUAUAGUGGGAAGUAAUUUAGGACACUAACAGAAUUAUUUCAUUUUAUAUAUAUAUAUAUAUAUAUAUAUAUAUAUAUAUAUACAUACACACACUACCGGUAAAAAGUUUUGAAACACUUUUAGAAUAAUAGUAAAGUCAUCAAAACUAUGGAAUAUGUUGUGACUAAACAAAAUCCAAAAUAAAUCAAAACUGUGUUAUAUUUUAGCAUCUUCAAAGUAGUCACCCUUUGCCUAGAAUUUGCAGACAUGUACUCUUGGCAUUUUAUCAAUCAACUUCUUGAGGUAUCAUCCUGAGAUGCUUUUUAAACAGUAUUGAAGGAGUUCCCAUCUAUGUUGGGCACUUAUUGGCUGCUUUUCUUUAUUAUUUGGUCAUCAAUUUAAAAAAAAAAAAAUUUUAAUUACAUUUUUGUUUUAUAAUGAAAUAAAUUAAUAUGUUGGCACAAUUAUAUUUUUGUCUACAAAAUUAAUUUCAAACAUUUAAGCAUACGCCUUCAGAUCAAAAGAUUUUUA
RNA transcript from Myxocyprinus asiaticus (Chinese sucker), 1477 nucleotides. It is a transcript of the gene named G-protein-signaling modulator 1-like, with no coding region annotated. The transcript has 4 exons. Lineage: Eukaryota; Metazoa; Chordata; Actinopteri; Cypriniformes; Catostomidae. The record is from RefSeq and is a predicted model, not a curated record.